GACGAACGCUGGCGGCGUGCUUAACACAUGCAAGUCGAACGGAAAGGCCCUGCUUUUGUGGGGUGCUCGAGUGGCGAACGGGUGAGUAACACGUGAGUAACCUGCCCUUGACUUUGGGAUAACUUCAGGAAACUGGGGCUAAUACCAGAUAGGAGCUCCUGCUGCAUGGUGGGGGUUGGAAAGUUUCGGCGGUUGGGGAUGGACUCGCGGCUUAUCAGCUUGUUGGUGGGGUAGUGGCUUACCAAGGCUUUGACGGGUAGCCGGCCUGAGAGGGUGACCGGCCACAUUGGGACUGAGAUACGGCCCAGACUCCUACGGGAGGCAGCAGUGGGGAAUAUUGCACAACGGGCGGAAGCCUGAUGCAGCAACGCCGCGUGCGGGAUGACGGCCUUCGGGUUGUAAACCGCUUUCGCCUGUGACGAAGCGUGAGUGACGGUAAUGGGUAAAGAAGCACCGGCUAACUACGUG
This 468-nucleotide ribosomal RNA is filed under the name uncultured bacterium. RNAcentral's name for it is "partial 16S ribosomal RNA". It matches the Rfam family "Bacterial small subunit ribosomal RNA", at positions 28 to 507 of the family's 1533-position model. The record is from RNAcentral.